UACGUAGGGGGCUAGCGUUAUCCGGAAUUACUGGGCGUAAAGGGUGCGUAGGUGGUUUCUUAAGUCAGAGGUGAAAGGCUACGGCUCAACCGUAGUAAGCCUUUGAAACUGGGGAACUUGAGUGCAGGAGAGGAGAGUGGAAUUCCUAGUGUAGCGGUGAAAUGCGUAGAUAUUAGGAGGAACACCAGUUUCGAAGGCGGCUCUCUGGACUGUAACUGACACUGAGGCACGAAAGCGUGGGGAGCAAACAGG
Molecule: ribosomal RNA, 252 nt
Filed under: uncultured bacterium
Lineage: Bacteria
Description: partial 16S ribosomal RNA
Rfam family: Bacterial small subunit ribosomal RNA
Source: RNAcentral